GAAAAGGAACUUACCAGGGUUCCCCUAGUAACGGCGAAUUAAGAGGGAGAGCUCAAAUUUUAANUCUGCCUUGUUCCANGGUCGAGUUGUAAUUUGAAGAAGCGUUUUYUUGGGCUYGCGGCCGGUAGAAGUUYUUUGGAACAGGACAUCAUAGAGGGUGACAAUCCCGUCCGUGACCGGUCGUGCGUUCAUCUACGAUACGCUUUCAAAGAGUCGAGUUGUUUGGGAUUGCAGCUCCAAACGGGUGGUAAACAUCACCUAAGGCUAAAUAUUGGCGAGAGACCGAUAGCGAACAAGUACCGUGAGGGAAAGAUGAAAAGAACUUUGAAAAGAGAGUUAAACAGUACGUGAAAUUGUUGAAAGGGAAACGAUUGAAGUCAGUCGUGCUGGCGCGAAAUCAACCCUCUCGUCUUGAGAUCACAUGGCGCGACGAGCCUCAAAACCGUCACRAAGCGUGAACUYYUGAUGAAAAGGUGCACUUUCGUGUCCGCUGGUUAACAUCAAUUUCGAWCGUCAUAAAAAGGCUGGAGGGAUGUGGCUCCUUCGGGAGUGUUAUAACCUUUAGCGGAAUGUGGUGUUCGGGAUUGAGGAUUGCAACGAAUACCUUCAGGGCUGUUCCACCUGGCUUCUCAUUGGUAUCCUGGUGACGACAGCUUGCUGACGUCGUUAGGAUCASCUUCUGAACAGGCUAGAGUGGRGNCNAAAUNCGUUAAGGAUGUUAACGUAAGGGCUUUAAACAACC
This 742-nucleotide ribosomal RNA is filed under the name Glomeromycotina sp. OTU31 DJMC-2012. Its description in RNAcentral is "eukaryotic LSU rRNA". It matches the Rfam family "Eukaryotic large subunit ribosomal RNA", at positions 56 to 649 of the family's 3401-position model. The record is from RNAcentral. Lineage: Eukaryota; Fungi; Glomeromycota.